This 497-nucleotide ribosomal RNA is filed under the name uncultured bacterium. RNAcentral's name for it is "partial 16S ribosomal RNA". It matches the Rfam family "Bacterial small subunit ribosomal RNA", at positions 28 to 507 of the family's 1533-position model. The record is from RNAcentral.
GAUGAACGCUGGCGGCGUGCCUAAUACAUGCAAGUCGAGCGAACAGAUAAGGAGCUUGCUCCUUUGACGUUAGCGGCGGACGGGUGAGUAACACGUGGGUAACCUACCUAUAAGACUGGGAUAACUUCGGGAAACCGGAGCUAAUACCGGAUAACAUUUGGAACCGCAUGGUUCUAAAGUGAAAGAUGGUUUUGCUAUCACUUAUAGAUGGACCCGCGCCGUAUUAGCUAGUUGGUAAGGUAACGGCUUACCAAGGCAACGAUACGUAGCCGACCUGAGAGGGUGAUCGGCCACACUGGAACUGAGACACGGUCCAGACUCCUACGGGAGGCAGCAGUAGGGAAUCUUCCGCAAUGGGCGAAAGCCUGACGGAGUAACGCCGCGUGAGUGAUGAAGGGUUUCGGCUCGUAAAACUCUGUUAUUAGGGAAGAACAAAUGUGUAAGUAACUGUGCACGUCUUGACGGUACCUAAUCAGAAAGCCACGGCUAACUACGUG